Molecule: ribosomal RNA, 472 nt
Filed under: uncultured bacterium
Lineage: Bacteria
Description: bacterial SSU rRNA
Rfam family: Bacterial small subunit ribosomal RNA
Source: RNAcentral
UGGGGAAUUUUGGACAAUGGGCGCAAGCCUGAUCCAGCCAUGCCGCGUGCGGGAAGAAGGCCUUCGGGUUGUAAACCGCUUUUGUCAGGGAAGAAACGGCUCUUACUAAUAUUAGGAGCUAAUGACGGUACCUGAAGAAUAAGCACCGGCUAACUACGUGCCAGCAGCCGCGGUAAUACGUAGGGUGCAAGCGUUAAUCGGAAUUACUGGGCGUAAAGCGUGCGCAGGCGGCUUUGCAAGACAGAUGUGAAAUCCCCGGGCUCAACCUGGGAACUGCAUUUGUGACUGCAAGGCUAGAGUACGGUAGAGGGGGAUGGAAUUCCGCGUGUAGCAGUGAAAUGCGUAGAUAUGCGGAGGAACACCGAUGGCGAAGGCAAUCCCCUGGACCUGUACUGACGCUCAUGCACGAAAGCGUGGGGAGCAAACAGGAUUAGAUACCCCAGUAGUCCCUGAGCGGGCUGGCAAGGCGCAU